RNAcentral lists this ribosomal RNA (270 nucleotides) under Triticum aestivum (bread wheat). Its description in RNAcentral is "partial small subunit ribosomal RNA". The record is from RNAcentral. Lineage: Eukaryota; Viridiplantae; Streptophyta; Magnoliopsida; Poales; Poaceae.
AUGGGAGCAACAGAGGUGUACCAUGUCCUGGACACAUACUGUCAGGCAACCGGGCAGCGGAUUAACUAUGCCAAGUCUUCUAUCUAUUUUAACAAGGGUGUUCCGGAUUCGGUCAGGCAAGAGAUCAAAGAGACGCUCAACGUUCCCAACGAAACACUAAAUGGAAAGUACUUGGGAAUGCCUUCAGAUAUAGGGAGUUCUAAGAAUGCGGCAUUUAAAUAUCUCAAAGACCGACUGAGGGAGUCCUGGAUUAGGGGGGUGUUCGGAUAG